GUAGGUGCCAAGCGUUAUCCGGAUUUACUGGGUGUAAAGGGAGCGUAGACGGUAAUGCAAGUCUGGAGUGAAAACCCGGGGCUCAACCCCGGGACUGCUUUGGAAACUGUGUAACUAGAGUGUCGGAGAGGCAAGUGGAAUUCCUAGUGUAGCGGUGAAAUGCAUAGAUAUUAGGAGGAACACCAGUGGCGAAGGCGGCUUGCUGGACGAUGACUGACGUUGAGGCUCGAAAGCGUGGGGAGCAAACAGGAUUAGAUACCCUGGUAGUCCACGCCGUAAACGAUGGCCACUCGGCCUUUGCGGGCGGAAUCUCCGUUCGUGGGGGCCUUAGCUAACGCGGGAAGUGGCCCGCCUGGGAACUACGAGCGCAAGCUUA
This 376-nucleotide ribosomal RNA is filed under the name uncultured bacterium. RNAcentral describes it as "bacterial SSU rRNA". It matches the Rfam family "Bacterial small subunit ribosomal RNA", at positions 527 to 896 of the family's 1533-position model. The record is from RNAcentral.